GUCAGGAGUGGCAGGUCAGCCUCUCCUGACUCACUGACCCAGUGACUAUGCCCAGCCACACCCCAAAGCUGGUGGAGAGGUCUCACCUGCCUGCAGCUAAGGGGAGGACGUCAUCUGGACUCUUGUCAAAGGGCUCUGGCUGCUGUAAGCGGGCAAGUGGAAGGGCAUGCCUGUCAGGCGAUGCUACCAAAGAGUCACCAAACUCUUAACUUGCCAUUGUCGCGCCCCGCAUGCUGGAUUUCAGCUCUAAUUGUAUACAGGAGCCGUACUGUCCAAUAUGUUGGCCACUGUCCCCACAUGGCGACUGAGCACUUGGAGUUUGGCCAGUGCAAAAUAAGCUGAGCUGAGAAAAGAAAACCUGAAUUUGUGGAGCUUUCCGAGGGGAAGGGCCUACAGAGAAGAAAGAUGUCCUCAGAUCCUCUGCAUCCAUUCCCCACGUCGGUGUACAGGGGGAGAUGCAGAAUGCAAAUUAUCCUGGAAGUGUAAUCGACUAAGGUCCGCUUGGUAGAAAUUAACUUGAAAUCCUGUUUCUUUACAAUAUUGGUUUCAACUAAUAAUUUCCUGGGUCAUAAAUGAACAUGGCCACUGAGACAAUGGA
Long non-coding RNA from Phyllostomus hastatus (greater spear-nosed bat), 598 nucleotides. RefSeq lists it as uncharacterized. Lineage: Eukaryota; Metazoa; Chordata; Mammalia; Chiroptera; Phyllostomidae. The transcript has 4 exons. The record is from RefSeq and is a predicted model, not a curated record.